GGGUCAUUAGCCCAGUCAAUAGAGCAGCUGGCUUUUAACCAGUUGGUCAUAGGUUCGGAUCCUAUACAACCCACCA
Molecule: transfer RNA, 76 nt
Filed under: Entomomonas moraniae
Lineage: Bacteria; Pseudomonadati; Pseudomonadota; Gammaproteobacteria; Pseudomonadales; Pseudomonadaceae
Description: tRNA-Lys
Rfam family: tRNA
About the family: Transfer RNA (tRNA) molecules are approximately 80 nucleotides in length. Their secondary structure includes four short double-helical elements and three loops (D, anti-codon, and T loops). Further hydrogen bonds mediate the characteristic L-shaped molecular structure. tRNAs have two regions of fundamental functional importance: the anti-codon, which is responsible for specific mRNA codon recognition, and the 3' end, to which the tRNAs corresponding amino acid is attached (by aminoacyl-tRNA synthetases). tRNAs cope with the degeneracy of the genetic code in two manners: having more than one tRNA (with a specific anti-codon) for a particular amino acid; and 'wobble' base-pairing, i.e. permitting non-standard base-pairing at the 3rd anti-codon position.
Source: RNAcentral